GUGCCAGCCGCCGCGGUAAUACGGAGGGUGCAAGCGUUAUCCGGAUUCACUGGGUUUAAAGGGUGCGUAGGCGGGCAGGUAAGUCAGUGGUGAAAUCUCCGGGCUUAACCCGGAAACUGCCGUUGAUACUAUCUGUCUUGAAUAUCGUGGAGGUAAGCGGAAUAUGUCAUGUAGCGGUGAAAUGCUUAGAUAUGACAUAGAACACCCAUUGCGAAGGCAGCUUACUACACGAUCAUUGACGCUGAGGCACGAAAGCGUGGGGAGCAAACAGGAUUAGAUACCCUGGUAGUCCACGCCCUAAACGAUGGAUACUCGACAUCAGCGAUACACUGUUGGUGUCUGAGCGAAAGCAUUAAGUAUCCCACCUGGGAAGUACGAUCGCAAGAUUGAAACUCAAAGGAAUUGACGG
RNAcentral lists this ribosomal RNA (409 nucleotides) under uncultured bacterium. RNAcentral describes it as "bacterial SSU rRNA". It matches the Rfam family "Bacterial small subunit ribosomal RNA", at positions 505 to 916 of the family's 1533-position model. The record is from RNAcentral.